This 467-nucleotide ribosomal RNA is filed under the name uncultured bacterium. RNAcentral describes it as "partial 16S ribosomal RNA". The stretch from base 56 to 467 matches the Rfam family "Bacterial small subunit ribosomal RNA", at positions 37 to 506 of the family's 1533-position model. The record is from RNAcentral.
GGGGGGGGGGGGGGGGGGGCUUGGGGGGUGCGGGGGGGGGGGGGGGGGCCGGCUGUGGGGGGGGGCUGGACUGGCGAGCGGGGGAGUAGCGCGUGCGUAACCUCGGCUUUGGCUUGGGGUGACUUCAGGAACCUGGGGAGACUACCGGGUGGGAGCGACUGCUGCCUGGUGUUGAUUGGACAGUUUCGGGGGUUGGGGAUAGACUCGCGGCUUAUCAGCUUGUUGGUGUGGUAGUUGCUUACCAAGGCUUUGACGGGUAGCCGGCCUGAGUGGGUGACCGGCCACAUUGUGACGGAGCUACGGCCCAGACUCCUACGGGAGGCAGCAGUGGGGAAUAUUGCACAAUGGGCGGAAGCCUGAUGCAGCAACGCCGCGUGCGGGAUGACGGCCUUCGGGUUGUAAACCGCUUUCGCCUGUGACGAAGCGUGAGUGACUGUAAUGGGGAAAGAAGCACCGGCUAACUACGU